This 382-nucleotide ribosomal RNA is filed under the name uncultured bacterium. RNAcentral describes it as "partial 16S ribosomal RNA". It matches the Rfam family "Bacterial small subunit ribosomal RNA", at positions 355 to 724 of the family's 1533-position model. The record is from RNAcentral.
UGGGGAAUUUUUGGACAAUGGGCGAAAGCCUGAUCCAGCAAUGCCGCGUGUGUGAAGAAGGCCUUCGGGUUGUAAAGCACUUUUGUCCGGAAAGAAAUCCUUGGCUCUAAUACAGUCGGGGGAUGACGGUACCGGAAGAAUAAGCACCGGCUAACUACGUGCCAGCAGCCGCGGUAAUACGUAGGGUGCAAGCGUUAAUCGGAAUUACUGGGCGUAAAGCGUGCGCAGGCGGUUUGCUAAGACCGAUGUGAAAUUCCCCGGGGCUCAACCUGGGAACUGCAUUGGCGACUGGCAGGCUAGAGUAUGGCAGAGGGGGGAUAGAAUUUCCACGUGUAGCAGUGAAAUGCGUAGAGAUGUGGAGGAAUACCGAUGGCGAAGGCAG